RNAcentral lists this ribosomal RNA (4890 nucleotides) under Escherichia coli. RNAcentral describes it as "bacterial LSU rRNA". The stretch from base 1 to 3842 matches the Rfam family "Bacterial large subunit ribosomal RNA". The record is from RNAcentral. Lineage: Bacteria; Pseudomonadati; Pseudomonadota; Gammaproteobacteria; Enterobacterales; Enterobacteriaceae.
UUAAGCGACUAAGCGUACACGGUGGAUGCCCUGGCAGUCAGAGGCGAUGAAGGACGUGCUAAUCUGCGAUAAGCGUCGGUAAGGUGAUAUGAACCGUUAUAACCGGCGAUUUCCGAAUGGGGAAACCCAGUGUGAUUCGUCACACUAUCAUUAACUGAAUCCAUAGGUUAAUGAGGCGAACCGGGGGAACUGAAACAUCUAAGUACCCCGAGGAAAAGAAAUCAACCGAGAUUCCCCCAGUAGCGGCGAGCGAACGGGGAGGAGCCCAGAGCCUGAAUCAGUGUGUGUGUUAGUGGAAGCGUCUGGAAAGGCGCGCGAUACAGGGUGACAGCCCCGUACACAAAAAUGCACAUGCUGUGAGCUCGAUGAGUAGGGCGGGACACGUGGUAUCCUGUCUGAAUAUGGGGGGACCAUCCUCCAAGGCUAAAUACUCCUGACUGACCGAUAGUGAACCAGUACCGUGAGGGAAAGGCGAAAAGAACCCCGGCGAGGGGAGUGAAAAAGAACCUGAAACCGUGUACGUACAAGCAGUGGGAGCACAGAGCAAUCUGUGUGACUGCGUACCUUUUGUAUAAUGGGUCAGCGACUUAUAUUCUGUAGCAAGGUUAACCGAAUAGGGGAGCCGAAGGGAAACCGAGUCUUAACUGGGCGUUAAGUUGCAGGGUAUAGACCCGAAACCCGGUGAUCUAGCCAUGGGCAGGUUGAAGGUUGGGUAACACUAACUGGAGGACCGAACCGACUAAUGUUGAAAAAUUAGCAGAUGACUUGUGGCUGGGGGUGAAAGGCCAAUCAAACCGGGAGAUAGCUGGUUCUCCCCGAAAGCUAUUUAGGUAGCGCCUCGUGAAUUCAUCUCCGGGGGUAGAGCACUGUUUCGGCAAGGGGGUCAUCCCGACUUACCAACCCGAUGCAAACUGCGAAUACCGGAGAAUGUUAUCACGGGAGACACACGGCGGGUGCUAACGUCCGUCGUGAAGAGGGAAACAACCCAGACCGCCAGCUAAGGUCCCAAAGUCAUGGUUAAGUGGGAAACGAUGUGGGAAGGCCCAGACAGCCAGGAUGUUGGCUUAGAAGCAGCCAUCAUUUAAAGAAAGCGUAAUAGCUCACUGGUCGAGUCGGCCUGCGCGGAAGAUGUAACGGGGCUAAACCAUGCACCGAAGCUGCGGCAGCGACGCUUAUGCGUUGUUGGGUAGGGGAGCGUUCUGUAAGCCUGUGAAGGUGUGCUGUGAGGCAUGCUGGAGGUAUCAGAAGUGCGAAUGCUGACAUAAGUAACGAUAAAGCGGGUGAAAAGCCCGCUCGCCGGAAGACCAAGGGUUCCUGUCCAACGUUAAUCGGGGCAGGGUGAGUCGACCCCUAAGGCGAGGCCGAAAGGCGUAGUCGAUGGGAAACAGGUUAAUAUUCCUGUACUUGGUGUUACUGCGAAGGGGGGACGGAGAAGGCUAUGUUGGCCGGGCGACGGUUGUCCCGGUUUAAGCGUGUAGGCUGGUUUUCCAGGCAAAUCCGGAAAAUCAAGGCUGAGGCGUGAUGACGAGGCACUACGGUGCUGAAGCAACAAAUGCCCUGCUUCCAGGAAAAGCCUCUAAGCAUCAGGUAACAUCAAAUCGUACCCCAAACCGACACAGGUGGUCAGGUAGAGAAUACCAAGGCGCUUGAGAGAACUCGGGUGAAGGAACUAGGCAAAAUGGUGCCGUANGAUCUAGCCAUGGGCAGGUUGAAGGUUGGGUAACACUAACUGGAGGACCGAACCGACUAAUGUUGAAAAAUUAGCGGAUGACUUGUGGCUGGGGGUGAAAGGCCAAUCAAACCGGGAGAUAGCUGGUUCUCCCCGAAAGCUAUUUAGGUAGCGCCUCGUGAAUUCAUCUCCGGGGGUAGAGCACUGUUUCGGCAAGGGGGUCAUCCCGACUUACCAACCCGAUGCAAACUGCGAAUACCGGAGAAUGUUAUCACGGGAGACACACGGCGGGUGCUAACGUCCGUCGUGAAGAGGGAAACAACCCAGACCGCCAGCUAAGGUCCCAAAGUCAUGGUUAAGUGGGAAACGAUGUGGGAAGGCCCAGACAGCCAGGAUGUUGGCUUAGAAGCAGCCAUCAUUUAAAGAAAGCGUAAUAGCUCACUGGUCGAGUCGGCCUGCGCGGAAGAUGUAACGGGGCUAAACCAUGCACCGAAGCUGCGGCAGCGACGCUGAUGCGUUGUUGGGUAGGGGAGCGUUCUGUAAGCCUGUGAAGGUGUGCUGUGAGGCAUGCUGGAGGUAUCAGAAGUGCGAAUGCUGACAUAAGUAACGAUAAAGCGGGUGAAAAGCCCGCUCGCCGGAAGACCAAGGGUUCCUGUCCAACGUUAAUCGGGGCAGGGUGAGUCGACCCCUAAGGCGAGGCCGAAAGGCGUAGUCGAUGGGAAACAGGUUAAUAUUCCUGUACUUGGUGUUACUGCGAAGGGGGGACGGAGAAGGCUAUGUUGGCCGGGCGACGGUUGUCCCGGUUUAAGCGUGUAGGCUGGUUUUCCAGGCAAAUCCGGAAAAUCAAGGCUGAGGCGUGAUGACGAGGCACUACGGUGCUGAAGCAACAAAUGCCCUGCUUCCAGGAAAAGCCUCUAAGCAUCAGGUAACAUCAAAUCGUACCCCAAACCGACACAGGUGGUCAGGUAGAGAAUACCAAGGCGCUUGAGAGAACUCGGGUGAAGGAACUAGGCAAAAUGGUGCCGUAACUUCGGGAGAAGGCACGCUGAUAUGUAGGUGAAGCGACUUGCUCGUGGAGCUGAAAUCAGUCGAAGAUACCAGCUGGCUGCAACUGUUUAUUAAAAACACAGCACUGUGCAAACACGAAAGUGGACGUAUACGGUGUGACGCCUGCCCGGUGCCGGAAGGUUAAUUGAUGGGGUUAGCGCAAGCGAAGCUCUUGAUCGAAGCCCCGGUAAACGGCGGCCGUAACUAUAACGGUCCUAAGGUAGCGAAAUUCCUUGUCGGGUAAGUUCCGACCUGCACGAAUGGCGUAAUGAUGGCCAGGCUGUCUCCACCCGAGACUCAGUGAAAUUGAACUCGCUGUGAAGAUGCAGUGUACCCGCGGCAAGACGGAAAGACCCCGUGAACCUUUACUAUAGCUUGACACUGAACAUUGAGCCUUGAUGUGUAGGAUAGGUGGGAGGCUUUGAAGUGUGGACGCCAGUCUGCAUGGAGCCGACCUUGAAAUACCACCCUUUAAUGUUUGAUGUUCUAACGUUGACCCGUAAUCCGGGUUGCGGACAGUGUCUGGUGGGUAGUUUGACUGGGGCGGUCUCCUCCUAAAGAGUAACGGAGGAGCACGAAGGUUGGCUAAUCCUGGUCGGACAUCAGGAGGUUAGUGCAAUGGCAUAAGCCAGCUUGACUGCGAGCGUGACGGCGCGAGCAGGUGCGAAAGCAGGUCAUAGUGAUCCGGUGGUUCUGAAUGGAAGGGCCAUCGCUCAACGGAUAAAAGGUACUCCGGGGAUAACAGGCUGAUACCGCCCAAGAGUUCAUAUCGACGGCGGUGUUUGGCACCUCGAUGUCGGCUCAUCACAUCCUGGGGCUGAAGUAGGUCCCAAGGGUAUGGCUGUUCGCCAUUUAAAGUGGUACGCGAGCUGGGUUUAGAACGUCGUGAGACAGUUCGGUCCCUAUCUGCCGUGGGCGCUGGAGAACUGAGGGGGGCUGCUCCUAGUACGAGAGGACCGGAGUGGACGCAUCACUGGUGUNUAUGUAGGUGAAGUCCCUCGCGGAUGGAGCUGAAAUCAGUCGAAGAUACCAGCUGGCUGCAACUGUUUAUUAAAAACACAGCACUGUGCAAACACGAAAGUGGACGUAUACGGUGUGACGCCUGCCCGGUGCCGGAAGGUUAAUUGAUGGGGUUAGCGCAAGCGAAGCUCUUGAUCGAAGCCCCGGUAAACGGCGGCCGUAACUAUAACGGUCCUAAGGUAGCGAAAUUCCUUGUCGGGUAAGUUCCGACCUGCACGAAUGGCGUAAUGAUGGCCAGGCUGUCUCCACCCGAGACUCAGUGAAAUUGAACUCGCUGUGAAGAUGCAGUGUACCCGCGGCAAGACGGAAAGACCCCGUGAACCUUUACUAUAGCUUGACACUGAACAUUGAGCCUUGAUGUGUAGGAUAGGUGGGAGGCUUUGAAGUGUGGACGCCAGUCUGCAUGGAGCCGACCUUGAAAUACCACCCUUUAAUGUUUGAUGUUCUAACGUGGACCCGUAAUCCGGGUUGCGGACAGUGUCUGGUGGGUAGUUUGACUGGGGCGGUCUCCUCCUAAAGAGUAACGGAGGAGCACGAAGGUUGGCUAAUCCUGGUCGGACAUCAGGAGGUUAGUGCAAUGGCAUAAGCCAGCUUGACUGCGAGCGUGACGGCGCGAGCAGGUGCGAAAGCAGGUCAUAGUGAUCCGGUGGUUCUGAAUGGAAGGGCCAUCGCUCAACGGAUAAAAGGUACUCCGGGGAUAACAGGCUGAUACCGCCCAAGAGUUCAUAUCGACGGCGGUGUUUGGCACCUCGAUGUCGGCUCAUCACAUCCUGGGGCUGAAGUAGGUCCCAAGGGUAUGGCUGUUCGCCAUUUAAAGUGGUACGCGAGCUGGGUUUAGAACGUCGUGAGACAGUUCGGUCCCUAUCUGCCGUGGGCGCUGGAGAAUUGAGGGGGGCUGCUCCUAGUACGAGAGGACCGGAGUGGACGCAUCACUGGUGUUCGGGUUGUCAUGCCAAUGGCACUGCCCGGUAGCUAAAUGCGGAAGAGAUAAGUGCUGAAAGCAUCUAAGCACGAAACUUGCCCCGAGAUGAGUUCUCCCUGACCCUUUAAGGGUCCUGAAGGAACGUUGAAGACGACGACGUUGAUAGGCCGGGUGUGUAAGCGCAGCGAUGCGUUGAGCUAACCGGUACUAAUGAACCGUGAGGCUUAACCUU